RNAcentral lists this ribosomal RNA (274 nucleotides) under uncultured bacterium. RNAcentral's name for it is "partial 16S ribosomal RNA". It matches the Rfam family "Bacterial small subunit ribosomal RNA", at positions 523 to 796 of the family's 1533-position model. The record is from RNAcentral.
AUACGGAGGGUGCAAGCGUUACUCGGAAUCACUGGGCGUAAAGGACGCGUAGGCGGGUUUGUAAGUCAGGUGUGAAAUCCUACAGCUCAACUGUAGAACUGCACUUGAAACUACAGACCUAGUGUAUGGAAGGGGCAGAUGGAAUUAGUGGUGUAGGGGUAAAAUCCGUAGAUAUCACUAGGAAUACCGAAAGCGAAGGCGAUCUGCUGGGACAUUACUGACGCUGAGGAACGAAAGCGUGGGUAGCAAACAGGAUUAGAAACCCUAGUAGUCC